CUCCCAAACCCCUGUGAACAUACCAAUUGUUGCCUCGGCGGAUCAGCCCGCUCCCGGUAAAACGGGACGGCCCGCCAGAGGACCCCUAAACUCUGUUUCUAUAUGUAACUUCUGAGUAAAACCAUAAAUAAAUCAAAACUUUCAACAACGGAUCUCUUGGUUCUGGCAUCGAUGAAGAACGCAGCAAAAUGCGAUAAGUAAUGUGAAUUGCAGAAUUCAGUGAAUCAUCGAAUCUUUGAACGCACAUUGCGCCCGCCAGUAUUCUGGCGGGCAUGCCUGUUCGAGCGUCAUUUCGACCCUCAAGCCCUCGGGUUUGGUGUUGGGGAUCGGCGAGCCCUUGCGGCAAGCCGGCCCCGAAAUCUAGUGGCGGUCUCGCUGCAGCUUCCAUUGCGUAGUAGUAAAACCCUCGCAACUGGUACGCGGCGCGGCCAAGCCGUUAAACCCCCAACUUCUGAAUGUUGACCUCGGAUCAGGUAGGAAUACCCGCUGAACUUAAGCUAAUCAAUAAGCGGAGGAAA
Molecule: ribosomal RNA, 518 nt
Filed under: uncultured Gibberella
Lineage: Eukaryota; Fungi; Ascomycota; Sordariomycetes; Hypocreales; Nectriaceae
Description: eukaryotic LSU rRNA
Rfam family: 5.8S ribosomal RNA (bases 137-290)
Source: RNAcentral